This 453-nucleotide ribosomal RNA is filed under the name uncultured bacterium. RNAcentral describes it as "bacterial SSU rRNA". It matches the Rfam family "Bacterial small subunit ribosomal RNA", at positions 384 to 831 of the family's 1533-position model. The record is from RNAcentral.
AGACCGAGCGACGCCGCGUGGGUGAUGAAGUUUUCGGAACGUAAAACCCUGUCAGGUGGGAGGAAUACCUUCGGUUAACACCCGAGUGGCUUGACAGUACCACCAGAGGAAGCUCCGGCUAACUCCGUGCCAGCAGCCGCGGUAACACGGGGGGAGCAAGCGUUGUUCGGAUUCAUUGGGCGUAAAGAGCUCGUAGGUGGCUCUGUAAGUCGGAGGUGAAAGACCACGGCUCAACCGUGGAAACGCCUUCGAAACUGUGGAGCUUGAGGCUGGGAGAGGAAAUCGGAAUUCCUGGUGUAGCGGUGAAAUGCGUAGAUAUCAGGAGGAACACCGGUGGCGAAGGCGGAUUUCUGGACCAGUUCUGACACUGAGGAGCGAAAGCCAGGGGAGCAAACAGGAUUAGAUACCCUGGUAGUCCUGGCUGUAAACGAUGGGCACUAAGUAGAGGGGUUU